Molecule: long non-coding RNA, 2331 nt
Organism: Salvia miltiorrhiza (redroot sage)
Lineage: Eukaryota; Viridiplantae; Streptophyta; Magnoliopsida; Lamiales; Lamiaceae
Exons: 2
Source: RefSeq, a predicted model, not a curated record
UCCUUCCCUUUUGUGCCCUAUUUCUUCCCCAAGAACAAAAUCCCCAAUUUCUAGGGUUUUCAGCCUCCCUUUCCUCUCCGAAUUUUGCCCCUCUUGCGAGUCCCGCCACUGCCGCCGCCUCGCACAGCUGCUCCGUGCCUCAAGAAGAGCUUGCACUCGCAUUUGGUGAAUUGUUGAGGAAAAUCUGGUCUUUUGGUCGAACUCGAAUUGCACCUCGUGUAUUUAAGGGGAAAGUUGCUCCCCAGUUUAGUGGUUAUAAUCAUCAUGAUUCGCAGGUUAGUUUCAAUCUGCAGUUGCAGUUGUGUUAAGAUAUAUGGCACCUGCAGUUUUGUAUUACUUUACCUUGUGAGUUUAUGUUUUGAUAUUAUCAUUCAUUUAAAUAUAAGAAGAAAUAUAGAUACUAUCUAUUCUUGUGUUAGUUUUUCAGGAACAUGAAUUUCAUCAAUCAAUUAUCUGAUACUAGAAUUUGAUAUUGAGGUAAGAGCAGUCCCUUAGAGUAUGUGAUGACAUUAUUAAUAUUAUUUUAUGCGUGACAAACUAUGGUUAUUCUUACUAUGGUCCCAUUUUCUGUGAUGUCCAGUUUUAUCAAUACUUUUUGGCGUGGAAUUGUAACUGUCUGGAUAUAAUUAACUUCCAUUCUUUGUUGACAUCAAUCUAGAAGAUGAUAUGGAAUUGUAAUCUCUAAACUUGUAUGGAAUAUAAUCAUGGUAUAAAAAAUUACGUGAAAAUGUACUGUUCUUAAGACAUUUGAUACAUGAGAAAUUGCCCAAGUGUAGAAAGAUAUUUAUACUGGGAACAUGGUUAAAUUCUUUUAAAUUUUAAAAAAUUCUUCUAACUGGCAUUAAAACUUGAAAGGGUGUUUCACUUAUUUAUACUUGACAUUUCAUUCAAUCCAUAGCUAUACUACAAAUCAUCUUAGCUUACUUCAAUUAAAACUGCACCAGAAUUGAAUGCUACAAAUAUUCUGAAUUUGCACAGACAGUAAAGUGCAUCUUCCAAUGCGAAAAAAAGGCAAUACUCCAGCACUACUGCUAAAACCAUCAUCUGCAAAGACUUGAAUAUACAACUGCAUAUAUUAGAACUCCUCUAUUCUUCUAAAGCCUAGAAUAAUAAAACAAGGAUCUCAUAUUUUACCAAGCAAAAACCUACUUAAGAAAUAUUUGUCCUAGAAUAUUUGAGGUUGCUGGGAGUUUCCGAUUGACUUAAGAAAUAUCAUGCUUGUCCUAUUGUUGGUUUUGAGUUAUUAUGUUCUUUCUUACAUAUGGAAGAUCAAGUCAUUUAUCAUAUCAGAUGACAUCUAAUAAAGGUAUACAUAAUUGAAAUCAGUGAGUUGAUUAGUCAUCUAUUUUUGAUAAUCUUAGUAAUUAUAUGAUGCUACCAACAUUGGACAGGCAAAGCUACAGAGGUUAUGGGAACGAGUGGUGCUAGAAAAUCGUGAGUCUUACAGUUCCAUCUCAUAUUCCUCUUCCUCUUGUCAUUACUUAAGUUCAUCUUAAUCAAUUAUGUAAAUUUUUGGUGCAGAACUAUUGGGAAAGAUUUUUGUCCAGUUGGGAAACAAUAUCAGGUCUGUUUAUUAAUUUGGUUUGACAUUUCAUACUAUUUUUCAGGAAUUACAUUCGUCAUCUUUACUUCUGGGGAAUUCUUGAGCAGGAUUCUUGGACAUUUGCAGGCUCUGCUAGCUACUGUUGAAUUUUAUUCUUCCUUAUAUAUAUUCAUCCUAUGAGGAGUUCGAAUCAUGGUAAGCAACUUCUAUUUGACUAAUAGAUAUUGAUUAAUAUAAUACUUGAAUAUAUAUCUUUUAUGUGAAGUGUUUUAACUAUUUUUGCAGUUGACCCCAUAUUUGAUUGGUUAGAAUUGCAGCUUGUAGUCUAUCUUAUUUGUUAUGUCGGAUCUCAUGUUCGACUUCUUGGGUAGGUGCAGUAACGAAGCCCUCAAGGAAGAGAUGGAAGAGAAAAGAAGGGCUCAGGUGCACUUUAAGUUAUGUAAUGUGCUACCUCAGACGAUUGCCUAUUUGGUGCCUAUUUUUUUAGUUUGUCACUUUAAUAAUUCUGAAGGUAGCGGCCAUUCUUCAUUUUUCACUCUUUCUAAUCUCUAUUGCAGAUUACUUUCAUGAGGAAGAAGAAUUUCAGGAAAGAGCAACUAGUUCUUGAGGAUUUGGCGCUAGAACCCAUAGUAUGAUAGAUUUUCGUUUUAGCUAUAAUUAAGAUAGUUGGUACUUUCAAUUUUGAAUCGAAUAUGCAAUGAUGAUGUAUACUUGAUACUUGGUUCAUUUGGAUGGUAAUGUAUGAAUAUUUUGGAUGAUAUAUAAAAUUGUUAUUGUUGAUUUUAUCA